UGGGGAAUAUUGCACAAUGGGCGCAAGCCUGAUGCAGCGACGCCGCGUGAGGGAUGACGGCCUUCGGGUUGUAAACCUCUGUUAGCAUCGAAGAAGCGAAAGUGACGGUAGGUGCAGAGAAAGCGCCGGCUAACUACGUGCCAGCAGCCGCGGUAAUACGUAGGGCGCGAGCGUUGUCCGGAAUUAUUGGGCGUAAAGAGCUUGUAGGCGGUUGGUCGCGUCUGCUGUGAAAGGCCGGGGCUUAACUCCGGUUUUGCAGUGGGUACGGGCUAACUAGAGUGCAGUAGGGGAGACUGGAAUUCCUGGUGUAGCGGUGGAAUGCACAGAUAUCAGGAGGAACACCGAUGGCGAAGGCAGGUCUCUGGGCUGUAACUGACGCUGAGAAGCGAAAGCAUGGGGAGCGAACAGGAUUAGAUACCCUGGUAGUCCAUGCCGUAAACGUUGGGCACUAGGUGUGGGGGACAUUCCACGGUUUCCGCGCCGUAGCUAACGCAUUAAGUGCCCCGCCUGGGGAGUACGGCCGCAAGGCUA
Molecule: ribosomal RNA, 531 nt
Filed under: uncultured bacterium
Lineage: Bacteria
Description: bacterial SSU rRNA
Rfam family: Bacterial small subunit ribosomal RNA
Source: RNAcentral